Molecule: ribosomal RNA, 269 nt
Filed under: uncultured soil bacterium
Lineage: Bacteria
Description: partial 16S ribosomal RNA
Rfam family: Bacterial small subunit ribosomal RNA
Source: RNAcentral
AGAGUGAACGCUGGCGGCAGGCCUAACACAUGCAAGUCGAGCGAGGCCAGGGGGGCAACUCCCUGAGUCGAGCGGCGGACGGGUGAGUAACACGUGGGUAACCUACCCGGAAGUGAGGAAUACCUCGGGGAAACUCGAGCUAAUACCGCAUGACAUCUCGAGGACGAAAGUCCUUGUGAUCAAAGCGGGGCCGCAAGGCCUCGUGCUACCGGAUGGGCCCGCGCCCGAUUAGCUAGUUGGCGAGGUAAUGGCUCACCAAGGCGACGAUC